This 157-nucleotide ribosomal RNA is filed under the name Aspergillus sclerotiorum. Its description in RNAcentral is "5.8 S ribosomal RNA". It matches the Rfam family "5.8S ribosomal RNA". From Rfam's summary of the family: 5.8S ribosomal RNA (5.8S rRNA) is a component of the large subunit of the eukaryotic ribosome. It is transcribed by RNA polymerase I as part of the 45S precursor that also contains 18S and 28S rRNA. Lineage: Eukaryota; Fungi; Ascomycota; Eurotiomycetes; Eurotiales; Aspergillaceae. The record is from RNAcentral.
AAACUUUCAACAAUGGAUCUCUUGGUUCCGGCAUCGAUGAAAAACGCAGCGAAAUGCGAUAAUUAAUGUGAAUUGCAGAAUUCAGUGAAUCAUCGAGUCUUUGAACGCACAUUGCACCCCCUGGUAUUCCGGGGGGUAUGCCUGUCCGANCGUCAUU